Molecule: long non-coding RNA, 4979 nt
Filed under: Salmo salar (Atlantic salmon)
Lineage: Eukaryota; Metazoa; Chordata; Actinopteri; Salmoniformes; Salmonidae
Description: lncRNA (ENSSSAG00000094196.1)
Source: RNAcentral
GGGGAGGGGAUGGGGGGGGAGGGGAUGGGGGGGGAAUCAUGGCGCUGCUGCUUCUAUAAUGCAACAGACACACAUUAACCUUCAUACAAAAUGGCUGCCGUGGCAAAGCAUACUAAAAACCUAAUUCAGUUCUUCCACCUUAACCACACCGAAGUGUCCCUCCGUCAUGGAUCUAACGUGGACUCGCGUUAGUAACAUGGUGGCUACUCCCUCCCUUCCAAGCUGAUGUUUACACUUAUAAUGUUUAUAAAUCCAUGACAGGAAGUGCACACACAUCAGGGAAGAGAGAAUCAGACCCAAAGGGCACCCUAUUCCCUAUAUAGUGCACUACUUUAUACCAGAGCCCUAUGGUACCCUAUUCCCUAUAUAGUGCACUACUUUAGACCAGAGCCCUAUGGCACCCUAUUCCCUAUACAGUGCACUACUUUUGACCUGAACAUUAUAUGGCCCUGGUCUAAAAUAGUGCCCUAUAUAUAUAUAUAUAUAGGGAAUAGGGUGCCAUUGGAGAUGAAGACUCAAGAGUUGAAGUCUGAAUGUGUACUCUCCCAAUGGGCAAUCCAGGCUCAUUACAACAGAACUUGACGGGUUGGUAGUUGUAUCAGACAAUACAGAAGAAGAAAGUUAAAAGUUUGUGUCAAAGUUUAAAACAAACAUUCUGUACAAAUCUAUCCACAGUUUGGUUUUUUGUGUUUUUAAAGCAGUGGGACGGAGGAGGGGGGAGGGGGGAGGAGGGGGGAGGACACGGGACUGAAUAGUUUAAAAAUAGUGCAACGUCAAGCUUCUUUCUUGGUUAAAACUUUUUAUCCUUCUGCUACAUAAUACCCGAGGGACAGUCUUGAAGGCACCAUGGUUGUUUACACGCCGGUCACCGUUGGAGACGGAGGGAGGAGCGUCCCCAAUACGGUUACAACACGGUCACCGUGGAGACGGGACGGAGGGGGGGGGACAGUCAGGUUCCUGCAGAGAUGAGGGGAGAGUAGAAUGUUUGCGAUUAAAAACAAUGGAUUUGUACCUGUACAACAUACGGAGCCAGAUUUAAGGGUAUUUCUAUACUAAAAUCGGCUACGUGACUGUCAGAAUGUACAGGAAACAACAGGAAGUUAAAGUCAUUACCCAGUAUAAAGUCACGCCACCGCGGCCCGGUCAGGCCCCUCCCACGCGAUUUUCUCAUGACUUUCGUUGGCGGCGGGGUCGGUGAUUGGCUCGUGACUUUCGUUGGCGGCGGGGUCGGUGAUUGGCUCGUGGCUUUCGUUGGCGGCGGGGUCGGUGAUUGGCUCGUGGCUUUCGUUGGCGGCGGCGGGGUCGGUGAUUGGCUCGUGGCUUUCCCUGAAUUUUUCUGUUUGCCUCUCCUGUUCCCGGCUCGGACCCGGUUGUGCUCCUGAACCAUCGCCUCCUGCGGCGAACCGCUAGACUCCUUCCAGGGAACUCUCCUCUUCCUUCUCUCAGUUUUCACAGCUUUGUCGUACUCGUCCCUCCUCUCCUCCUGUCUGGUCUCGUCGGGGCAGUAUGUGUCGUCUAGAUUGACGGUGCAGACGUCCCACUCGUCCUCAACGGUGGACUCUGUGUCGGGGGAGUUGAUCUUCUUGAGAAACACGCAACACUCCUUCAGAGUCUCUGGACUCCAGGCUUUAGAGCUGAGACGCUGCUGUUUGGUGAGGCCUGUCAGCUGGUCGGGGCUGCAGGGCUGACUGGUGUCCGAGGAGGCAGGUAGACAGUGGUGAUGUGGAGAAGAGGUGAGCUCCUCCCUGGGCUGAGCAGAAGGGCAGACCUGGUCAGGUGAAUUGCCUACCUCCACCAGGCUUCUCCUCCAGAUCGCCUGGUUGUACCUCAGCCUGUUGGGCCGCUUGGCUCUGAGGGUCCAGGUGAGGAACUUUUCUCUGACUCUGAGCAGAGUGGUUCUGUACGUCCCGAGGGCCCUGAUCUUCCUCCAUGGAGCUCUGAGACGCAGCCCGCCUGACGCGGCCUCGCAGUGAACAGACGCCGCCUGGCAUUCAGCUCUUUUCCACGUCGGAGCCGUUCCUGGGCUAGACGGAGCUGGGCGGGGCUCUUCGGCACAGCUUUGGCAAACUUCUUGAUGUGUUUGCGUAGUCGCAUGGUCUGCGGGCUGGGAAAGACGCUCCCCCUGCUGGCGGUCCGGGGGUAGUGAAGGAGCUCAUAGGGGUUUCGGGAGCUGGUCUUCUUCACAAUGCCCAGAGACUGAGUCUCAGUGGUCUGCAUGAACCAGGAUGCCAGCCUCUCCACGCUGCAGCGCUGGUCAAACAGCAGCCGCACCGCCGACCCAACCUCUGGCUUCCACGAGGACAAAGAGUCAUCGUCGAGUUUCUGCUUGGCGGACGUGAUCGUCCCCGUCCUGGUGGUGUGGGUGGUAGUGGCUGCGGAAGUGACCCAGCUGUGGGAUAUGAGGCGGAUCCUGCGAGCCAGCUCUUGGUUCAGGCUGUCCUGGUCGGAGGAGACGGGCCACCACCUCACCGCCUCGCUGGAGCUGGCCGGGAAAAUGGAGUCUACCGAAACCCCCGCCACCUGGCUCAGGUCCUCACACAACAGCCCUCCUUUUCCCUCGCUCUUCCUCUCCUCCUUCCCAGACAGCAGCUCCUCCUGCCCUGGGGUGUCCUCUCCUCCCUCCUCCUUCCUCCUGCGAUGGCUGCCUUUGCUGCUGGCCCUGUUGAUCAGUAGCUGUCUGGAUCGGCGCAGCAGGGCGGUACUGUGGCUCAGGGACCUAGAGGUGGAGGUGGCUACAGAGUGAAGCAGGUACACUGAAGGCUUCCUCACCCUCACAGAGUGACGCACCGCCAACAGAGGAGGAGUCUGGGUCUGUCGCUCCCUCUCUCCAUCCUUGGACUCUGUCGUUCUCUCGGUCUGCAUCCGAGUGUCGUCGUCACUAGAUGGUGUGCUGCUGAUUUUCCUGGGCUCUUUGGAAGGCUGGGGUUCAGGAAGGAGGGCUUUCCACUGACAGAGCUUCUCCGGAGAUUUCCUGGCUGCGUCCCGGUUCAUGUGGAUCUUGCGUUUCCCGGCGACCUGGUGGUGACGGUAACGGAGAUUCCGGAGAUCUUGACCUUGGCGGGUCUCCCUGGACGACGCAUGGCCGCGGUACACUGCAGCUUCUGGCACUUGAUAAUGUUGCUGCUGUUGCUGGCGUGGGGAGCGAACCUCUUCUCCUUCACCGGUCUGACAAAGUUCAGAUCCAUCAGCUGCUCUGUAGCCUGGAGACAAGCAGCCUCCUCCGACACGGUCCUCUUGGUCCUGUGGGAGCGUCCGUACACCACGGUGAUCUUCAGGUUCCUGUUGGCUGGGUCUCUCUCCUCGUUGCCCACCUCCCCGGUACUGCAGCCUAAGGGAACUCCACCGGACCGGUCCUGACCCCCCUGCCUGGAGCCACAGCUCGGCUCUACACCCCUUUGCUUGGGCGGGCGGCCGAUCGGCCUCUUGGCCCUCUUCUCCAGCUGGGGGCCCAGCUUCUUGGGACGUCCCGGACGUCUCUUCGUGGGGGUGGUUUCACGAAAAGGAGGCGGGCCAUCUCCGUUCUGGGAUCCGGGGGAACGUUUUGGCGGGCUACCCCCCUCUCCUCUCGUCGUUCCACACAGCUUUGGUGAUGACGAUACGGUGUUCUUGGGUGGACUCCUGGUUUUAAGCGGACUCCUGGUCUGGGGGGGACUCCUGGUCUGGGGGGGACUCCUGGUCUGGGGGGGACUCCUGGUUUUAGGUGGAUUGUGAGUCUUCUCUGGGGUCUUCUCUGGACUUCCAGCCCACGAUGACUCCUCACAGGGGUCAAAGGUCUCCUGUCCAUGCCAGCUGGAUCCUGGUGCAGCCGCCUUCAGGGUGUACCUCACCCCCUCUUCACCCACUACUGCAGACACAAACAUCAGCUUGAUAGGGCUGGUGUACUGAGAUUGCUCUGUGUGGACCUCACCCUCUGACCUGAAGGCUGUCUGAGGGCUCGCUGGUUGGGACCGGGAGUCUGGGUGCUGACCCUGGGGUUGGGCUGGGGAGGAGCGUAAGCGCCCAAAAGGUUUGGCUGCUCUGAGCCUAACAUCUGCCCUGUUCCGGGAGCGGUGUUUACGGGGACUCUGCUGCUCAGAGGAAGAUGCAGUGACGGGAAUCACCUGACCUCGUCUCUGUGACUCACGGUCUGAACUCUGACCUCCUGCUGUUGAUCUACAGCCUCUGUCUCCUCUCCUCUCCUGACUGACAACCUCAGGACUGGAUGCCAGCGGUAAUUCUUCUUCUCUUGCUUCGCCCAACCCCUCAGCCGUGUCUGUGGCCGAGGAUUGGGAGUCUGUGUGAUUGGUGUUGGGGGCAUUUAGUGGUGGCCGAUCCUUUGGCGUCCUCUGGGCGGAGAAGAUUCUCUCUGAGAAACAGGCAGCAGAAUACAUCAUCCUGGGCUCUGUGACGUAGGAGGAGAACCGCUGGGGAGGGACGAUAUUCCUCCUGGACCUCCCAGCCUCGCUGCUCCUCCUCACCACCACCACCUUGCUGCUGCUGCCUGGCUGGGACCUCUUGCCUCUCCCGGUUCUGCAGGGGUGGGAAGGGCUAUUCCUGGCUGACACUCUGCUACUGUCCUUGCUGCAGCCUGCUGUUUCUGCUGUCUCCUCCUCUUCCUCUCUACUCCUCUCAGGAAGACAGGUGCUGCUGGUACUACCUGGUGACUCCUCCUGUCUCCUCCUCUUCUCUGGGAGGUCAUUCCUACUGCUGUCCUGACAGGUGAUGUUCCAGCUCUCUGGUUUGUGUUGGUCCUCCUGCGGGUGACUCUGUUGUGUAGAGGAGAGGACUGGGGGUUUCUCCAUCUCCUCCUUCACGCCCACUAUAUCCUUCGUAACUCUCACUGGACCUGCCUCCUCUGCUGUCACCCUCUCCGUCUCUCCCUCCUUCACCCUCUCCGUCCCUCCCUCCUUCACCCUCUCCGUCUCUCCCUCCUUCACCCUCUCCGUCCCUCCCUCCUUCACCCUCUCCGUCUCUCCCUCCUUCACCCUCUCCGUCCCUCC